CGUGACCAAUCUGUCUUCGAGAGGGGGACAACCCGGGGAAACCUGGGCUAAUACCGCAUGAUGUUCUCGUUUCACAUGAUUCGAGAACCAAAGGGGGCCUCUGCUUGCAAGCUCUCGCUCGAAGGGGAGGUCGCGUUGUAUCAGCUUGUUGGUGGGGUAAUGGCCUACCAAGGCUACGACGCAUAGCGGGUCUGAGAGGACGACCCGCCACAUUGGGACUGAGAUACGGCCCAG
Molecule: ribosomal RNA, 234 nt
Filed under: uncultured bacterium
Lineage: Bacteria
Description: partial 16S ribosomal RNA
Rfam family: Bacterial small subunit ribosomal RNA
Source: RNAcentral